Molecule: long non-coding RNA, 920 nt
Filed under: Musa acuminata (dwarf banana)
Lineage: Eukaryota; Viridiplantae; Streptophyta; Magnoliopsida; Zingiberales; Musaceae
Description: long non-coding RNA (MACU_LNC005995)
Source: RNAcentral
UACAUUCUCCUUCGCUUAAGGACCCUCAUCGCUCGAGCUUUAACAGCUUCUUGAGCUGGAUCAGGUCGAGUCUUGUUAAUCUGCUCCUUGUAUCUAGCUAAUUCAGCAUCAAGUUUCUUGAUUUUCUCAUCCACUGUGACACCCCUUAUAUUAAUCAGAAAACAAAAACAACCAUAUUAUUAGUGACACAAUGAAGCACAAGAAACAACAUGUCCCAAGUCUCCAUUCAGCAUGAACUAGAUAUAUAGCAGGCUACAGUUGAUUAAGUUCAUAUUCAAGGACUUCCAGAACGAAAAGUAAGAUUUAGUUCUAACUAUAAUGCUGGAUUAUGAAGGAUGUGUAAAAUAAGUAUAAAAAGAACAAGUAGUUACAUGUUACCAUUCAAAUUAUCACACCUGCGACACCUUUGUUUCCGAUUGUGAUGAUUGGGUGGGGACAACAUGGAAGAGGGGACGAAUCGAAAUGGGUAUGCAUCAAACAGAAGAACAUCGACUUACGAUCAUGAAGGUCACGGAAUUUAGCAGAAGAUCUUAUAAUAUCACAAGCGGCGUCACAAAGAAAUCGGUAAAGCAGAGUUCUUUCAAGAGCCGGAAGAAGAGGAAGGGUUAAAAAGAGGUCGGACCUUGUCGGUCGCGUCCUGGAUCGUCGGCGGCGGCUCCUUAUUCUUCUUGGCGCCGAAGACCCGUUUCAUCUCUAAGCGAUCCCAACCUACGGGAGAGCCUUGUGCCGUUGCAGCGACGGCAAUUCGGGUGAGGGCUUUGAUGUUUCGGAUCCUCUCCAAUUCAUGCGGAUCCGUUCACUCCUUCAACCGCCAUAUCUCCGUCCUUCAUUCCCCUGUUCUCACAUCUCAGCCGUUCGUUUUCGUGAUCAAAUCCAUCGGUUUGGAGGUUGGAGAGGAUCCGAAUCCGUACCGAUCGAUG